RNAcentral lists this ribosomal RNA (239 nucleotides) under uncultured bacterium. Its description in RNAcentral is "partial 16S ribosomal RNA". It matches the Rfam family "Bacterial small subunit ribosomal RNA", at positions 524 to 758 of the family's 1533-position model. The record is from RNAcentral.
UACGUAGGGUGCGACGUUGUCCGGAAUUACGUGGGCGUAAAGGAGCUCGUAGGUGGUUUGUCGCGUUGUUCGUGAAAACUCACAGCUUAACUGUGGGCGUGCGGGCGAUACGGGCAGACUGGAGUACUGCAGGGGAGACUGGAAUUCCUGGUGUAGCGGUGGAAUGCGCAGAUAUCAGGAGGAACGACCGGUGGCGAAGGCGGGUCUCCGUGGGCAGUAACUGACGCUGAGGAGCGAAA